GGUGUUUCUGCAAUGUAUUUCAGGAGAACCAACUUCACUCACAUCUCAAAUGACCAUCCUGCCCUUGCCCUUAUUUUUUGUCUUCUUUUGGUCACCUCAAGUCCCUGCUUAGGACACAUUUCUCUUUCUGGGCCUGGAAACUCUCUGGAACAUGAUGCUUUUCGAUUUUUCCUCCAGCUCCAUUGGCAUGGCAAAACUUGGAUUCUUUUUUUUUCUGCACAAAGAACUGUGUAUGUAUCAACCUAACAAGGCGUCAGGAGCAUUCUCCUAUGUCAACAAACAUGGACAUUCAACACAUUUCGAAUGCUUGCAGAGUGGUAAAUCCUGUGGUUGCACCACAGUAUAUUUGGCCAAUACCCUGCUGGUGGACAUUAGGGCCAUUUACUGAACAACUCUGCAGCUAUGUCAAGCUGAGCUGGAGAAUGGGGCCGAGAUACAAGCAGCUGGGGACAAGCCAGGUACUUACUCCAGUGGGAGAAGGGCGCCCUCACAGCGUGUGCUACAUCCAGGCAAGGGCAUGGGUUGGCAUGAAUUUUAACUUCUUGUUUCUGUAUCUUUGGCCUUUAUGCUUAUUAAAA
This 578-nucleotide long non-coding RNA is filed under the name Vulpes vulpes (red fox). Its description in RNAcentral is "lncRNA (ENSVVUG00000003952.1)". Lineage: Eukaryota; Metazoa; Chordata; Mammalia; Carnivora; Canidae. The record is from RNAcentral.